This 497-nucleotide ribosomal RNA is filed under the name uncultured bacterium. RNAcentral's name for it is "partial 16S ribosomal RNA". It matches the Rfam family "Bacterial small subunit ribosomal RNA", at positions 28 to 507 of the family's 1533-position model. The record is from RNAcentral.
GAUGAACGCUGGCGGCGUGCCUAAUACAUGCAAGUCGAGCGAACAGACGAGGAGCUUGCUCCUCUGACGUUAGCGGCGGACGGGUGAGUAACACGUGGAUAACCUACCUAUAAGACUGGGAUAACUUCGGGAAACCGGAGCUAAUACCGGAUAAUAUAUUGAACCGCAUGGUUCAAUAGUGAAAGACGGUUUUGCUGUCACUUAUAGAUGGAUCCGCGCCGCAUUAGCUAGUUGGUAAGGUAACGGCUUACCAAGGCAACGAUGCGUAGCCGAGCUGAGAGGGUGAUCGGCCACACUGGAACUGAGACACGGUCCAGACUCCUACGGGAGGCAGCAGUAGGGAAUCUUCCGCAAUGGGCGAAAGCUUGACGGAGCAACGCCGCGUGAGUGAUGAAGGUCUUCGGAGCGUAAAACUCUGUUAUUAGGGAAGAACAAAUGUGUAAGUAACUAUGCACGUCUUGACGGUACCUAAUCAGAAAGCCACGGCUAACUACGUG